UACAGAGGUCUCAAGCGUUGUUCGGAUUCAUUGGGCGUAAAGGGUGCGUAGGUGGCGCGCUAAGUCAGGUGUGAAAUUUCGGAGCUUAACUCCGAAACUGCAUUUGAUACUGGCGUGCUUGAGGACUGGAGAGGAGACUGGAAUUCAUGGUGUAGCAGUGAAAUGCGUAGAGAUCAUGAGGAAGACCCGUGGCGAAGGCGGCUCUCUGGGACGGUACUGACGCUGAGACGCGAAAGCGUGGGGAGCGAACAGG
RNAcentral lists this ribosomal RNA (253 nucleotides) under uncultured bacterium. RNAcentral's name for it is "partial 16S ribosomal RNA". It matches the Rfam family "Bacterial small subunit ribosomal RNA", at positions 524 to 776 of the family's 1533-position model. The record is from RNAcentral.